Callithrix jacchus (white-tufted-ear marmoset) is the source of this 599-nucleotide non-coding RNA. The record is from RefSeq and is a predicted model, not a curated record. NCBI's taxonomy places the organism in Eukaryota, Metazoa, Chordata, Mammalia, Primates, Cebidae.
AUGGCCUUCGGGCCAUGGAGGAAGCCGGCCUAAAAGGACAACCUGUCCAUGAGGCAUGAUGGACUAGAAAGAUGGUCACAGAUCAUGGAGCUGCCAACCUAAUUGUCCUGGAACUUCCAUAACUCCGGCCCUCAGCCGUCAAAAAUGCUAGAGCUGCUGCAGCUUCUGAAGAUUCACUUUUGCAGUCCUAUGGGAAGUCACCAGUUUGUCCUUUCAACAGUGUGCCAAAAGUGGAAAAACGAAGAGUUUAAGCAACUGUCAAGCAGGAAACUUUUUGUUUGUUUAUUUUAAAAAAAGAAGACUUAUCAACCCAGCCAAGAAAUUUUGUCAAAGUUACAGGCUGUCAUUCUUUAUAAUCGCUCUACUUUCUUUUUCUUUCUGAAUCCUGCAUUUUCAUGGAGGAUAGAUAAUUUUUGGCAUUAUCCCCAUUGGCUCGACUUAGCUCUGUUCCUUGGGGUCCUGCUGACUUUAUAAAUUUUCGACUCCUAAAUCCAAUGCUGGCUCACCCAGGAAAGAAAAAAGUAAACUGAACAAUAAAAUUCAAGCUGUAGCUUCCGUUGUGACUCAAGAAUAGAAAAUGUUGUUAAUGGCCAACAGCA